Molecule: transfer RNA, 73 nt
Filed under: Deferribacteraceae bacterium
Lineage: Bacteria; Pseudomonadati; Deferribacterota; Deferribacteres; Deferribacterales; Deferribacteraceae
Description: tRNA-Gly
Rfam family: tRNA
About the family: Transfer RNA (tRNA) molecules are approximately 80 nucleotides in length.
Source: RNAcentral
GCGGGCGUAGCUCACCAGGUAGAGUGACAGCUUCCCAAGCUGUAGGUAGGGGGUUCGAGACCCCUCGCCCGCU